This 423-nucleotide ribosomal RNA is filed under the name Pseudomonas sp. E11_ICE13. RNAcentral's name for it is "bacterial SSU rRNA". It matches the Rfam family "Bacterial small subunit ribosomal RNA", at positions 299 to 708 of the family's 1533-position model. The record is from RNAcentral. Lineage: Bacteria; Pseudomonadati; Pseudomonadota; Gammaproteobacteria; Pseudomonadales; Pseudomonadaceae.
GAUGAUCAGUCACACUGGAACAUGAGACACGGUCCAGACUCCUACGGGAGGCAGCAGUGGGGAAUAUUGGACAAUGGGCGAAAGCCUGAUUCCAGCCAUGCCGCGUGUGUGGAAAGAAGGUCUUCGGAUUGUAAAGCACUUUAAGUUGGGAGGAAGGGCAGUUACCUAAUACGUGAGUGUCUUGACGUUACCGACAGAAUAAGCACCGGCUAACUCUGUGCCAGCAGCCGCGGUAAUACAGAGGGUGCAAGCGUUAAUCGGAAUUACUGGGCGUAAAGCGCGCGUAGGUGGUUUGUUAAGUUGAAAUGUGAAAUCCCCCGGGCUCAACCUGGGAACUGCAUCCAAAACUGGCAAGCUAGAGUAUGGUAGAGGGUAGUGGAAUUUCCUGUGUAGCGGUGAAAUGCGUAGAUAUAGGAAGGAACA